AAACCUCUCAGCAGAAUUUAUUUUUUGUUGGUCAUGGGUCGCGGAGGACUAGCCUAACAGCUGCUCCCGCCUUAAAAUUGCUGCACGACCUCAAGCUAUUGCUAGGUUAAUGGAGUGGUGUUUACAUUAUAUUCCAGCGAUUUACUGCAAUACUUGGUGGCGUUAAACCCGAAUGUUUGCGCAAGUAGACUUCAGAA
This 197-nucleotide unclassified non-coding RNA is filed under the name uncultured Orbiliales. RNAcentral's name for it is "sequence contains ITS2". Lineage: Eukaryota; Fungi; Ascomycota; Orbiliomycetes; Orbiliales. The record is from RNAcentral.